GACGAACGCUGGCGGCGUGCUUAACACAUGCAAGUCGAACGGAAAGGCCCUGCUUUUGUGGGGUGCUCGAGUGGCGAACGGGUGAGUAACACGUGAGUAACCUGCCCUUGACUUUGGGAUAACUUCAGGAAACUGGGGCUAAUACCGGAUAGGAGCUCCUGCUGCAUGGUGGGGGUUGGAAAGUUUCGGCGGUUGGGGAUGGACUCGCGGCUUAUCAGCUUGUUGGUGGGGUAGUGGCUUACCAAGGCGUUGACGGGUAGCCGGCCUGAGAGGGUGACCGGCCCCAUUGGGACUGAGCUACGGCCCAGACUCCUACGGGAGGCAGCAGUGGGGAAUAUUGCACAAUGGGCGGAAGCCUGAUGCAGCAACGCCGCGUGCGGGAUGACGGCCUUCGGGUUGUAAACCGCUUUCGCCUGUGACGAAGCGUGAGUGACGGUAAUGGGUAAAGAAGCACCGGCUAACUACGUG
RNAcentral lists this ribosomal RNA (468 nucleotides) under uncultured bacterium. Its description in RNAcentral is "partial 16S ribosomal RNA". It matches the Rfam family "Bacterial small subunit ribosomal RNA", at positions 28 to 507 of the family's 1533-position model. The record is from RNAcentral.